ACUGUCCUUCGACUGAAAGAAAAGACUCCUUAGAUCUGCAAUACUCAAGAAGACAUCAUGCCUUGCGGAUGUGGCUCAACGUGCAAAUGUGGGUCUGGAACCUGCUGCUGUGGUACGACGUGCAAUUGCUCUGCCUGUCCCAGCAAGAAGAGCUGUGCCUGUCCGAAUGGCAGCUGCAGCGCUGAGUGCCAGUGCAAGAGUGCCGCAUGCUGUUGUGGGACGGAAUGCAAGUGCAACCCCUGUCCCAUGAAGUAGAGUGCGGUGCCACUCUGCGAUAGCGGGGGCGAGAAGGACGAUGGAGUGAAGAUCCAUUUUUUUUUUCUCUCUCUCUCCCUUUCUUUGUCUUUUCUUUUUAAUUUUGUUU
Penaeus vannamei (Pacific white shrimp) is the source of this 364-nucleotide non-coding RNA. The record is from RefSeq and is a predicted model, not a curated record. NCBI's taxonomy places the organism in Eukaryota, Metazoa, Arthropoda, Malacostraca, Decapoda, Penaeidae.